CCUACGGGAGGCAGCAGUGAGGAAUAUUGGUCAAUGGGCGAGAGCCUGAACCAGCCAAGUCGCGUGAGGGACGACGGUCCUAUGGAUUGUAAACCUCUUUUGUCGGGGAACAAAGGCGCCCACGGGUGGGCGGAUGAGUGUACCCGAAGAAAAAGCAUCGGCUAACUCCGUGCCAGCAGCCGCGGUAAUACGGAGGAUGCAAGCGUUAUCGGGAUUUAUUGGGUUUAAAGGGUGCGUAGGCGGACAGUCAAGUCAGCGUGAAACAGGAGGUGAGAAACGGCGUACAGCCGUUGAAACUGGCAGUGUUGAGUGGGCAAGAAGUAUGCGGAAUGCGUGGUGUAGCGGUGAAAUGCAUAGAUAUCACGCAGAACUCCGAGUGCGAAGGCAGCAUACCGGCGCCCUACUGACGCUGAGGCACGAAAGCGUGGGUAUCGAACAGGAGUAGAUACCCCUGUAGUC
RNAcentral lists this ribosomal RNA (459 nucleotides) under uncultured bacterium. Its description in RNAcentral is "partial 16S ribosomal RNA". It matches the Rfam family "Bacterial small subunit ribosomal RNA", at positions 338 to 795 of the family's 1533-position model. The record is from RNAcentral.